This 253-nucleotide ribosomal RNA is filed under the name uncultured bacterium. Its description in RNAcentral is "partial 16S ribosomal RNA". It matches the Rfam family "Bacterial small subunit ribosomal RNA", at positions 524 to 776 of the family's 1533-position model. The record is from RNAcentral.
GACGGGAGAUGCAAGCGUUGUUCGGAAUCACUGGGCUUAAAGCGCGUGUAGGCGGCUCGGUAAGUAUCUUGUGAAAUCCCAGGGCUCAACCUUGGAAUCGCUUGGUAUACUGCCGAGCUUGAGGCAGGUAGGGGUCACUGGAACUCUAGGUGGAGCGGUGAAAUGCGUAGAUAUCUAGAGGAACGCCCGUGGCGAAAGCGGGUGACUGGGCCUGUCCUGACGCUGAGACGCGAAAGCGUGGGUAGCAAACGGG